UGGGGAUGUAGCUCAAAUGGUAGAGCGCUCGCUUUGCAUGCGAGAGGUACGGGGUUCGAUCGCCCGCAUCUCCAA
RNAcentral lists this transfer RNA (75 nucleotides) under Helianthus annuus (common sunflower). RNAcentral describes it as "tRNA-Ala". It matches the Rfam family "tRNA". From Rfam's summary of the family: Transfer RNA (tRNA) molecules are approximately 80 nucleotides in length. Lineage: Eukaryota; Viridiplantae; Streptophyta; Magnoliopsida; Asterales; Asteraceae. The record is from RNAcentral.